Molecule: non-coding RNA, 82 nt
Filed under: Modestobacter marinus
Lineage: Bacteria; Bacillati; Actinomycetota; Actinomycetes; Geodermatophilales; Geodermatophilaceae
Description: ZTP sequence
Rfam family: ZMP/ZTP riboswitch aptamer (pfl RNA motif)
About the family: Previously known as pfl RNA. ZMP is also known as AICAR.
Source: Rfam by way of RNAcentral
ACCGCGGGCCGUGACUGGCGCUGACAGGUGGGCCACCACCGGGGAGCGGCUCCGUCGACCGCCGCGCGCCUGGGCUCCCGUC